GACGAAGAACGUAGCGAAAUGCGAUACUUGGUGUGAAUUGCAGAAUCCCGUGAACCAUCGAGUCUUUGAACGCAAGUUGCGCCCGAAGCCAUUAGGCCGAGGGCACGCCUGCCUGGGCGUCACACGUCGUUGCCCCCCCCAUCUACUCCUUCGGGAUUGCGGGGGGCGGAUGAUGGCCUCCCGUGCGCCUCGCCGCGCGGUUGGCAUAAAUGCCAAGUCCUCGGCGACGCACGCCACGACAAUCGGUGGUUGCGAAACCUCGGUUGCCCGUCGUGUGCGGUCGUCGCGCAUCGAGGGCUCGAAAAAAUUGCCGAGUUCCGGCUCGGCUUUCAACGCGACCCCAGGUCAGGCGGGGUUACCCGCUGAAUUUAAGCAUAUCAAUAAGCGGAGGA
RNAcentral lists this unclassified non-coding RNA (392 nucleotides) under soil metagenome. RNAcentral describes it as "partial contains 5.8S ribosomal RNA, internal transcribed spacer 2, and large subunit ribosomal RNA". The stretch from base 1 to 122 matches the Rfam family "5.8S ribosomal RNA", at positions 35 to 154 of the family's 154-position model. The record is from RNAcentral.